This 74-nucleotide transfer RNA is filed under the name Perca flavescens (yellow perch). It matches the Rfam family "tRNA". From Rfam's summary of the family: Transfer RNA (tRNA) molecules are approximately 80 nucleotides in length. Their secondary structure includes four short double-helical elements and three loops (D, anti-codon, and T loops). Further hydrogen bonds mediate the characteristic L-shaped molecular structure. tRNAs have two regions of fundamental functional importance: the anti-codon, which is responsible for specific mRNA codon recognition, and the 3' end, to which the tRNAs corresponding amino acid is attached (by aminoacyl-tRNA synthetases). tRNAs cope with the degeneracy of the genetic code in two manners: having more than one tRNA (with a specific anti-codon) for a particular amino acid; and 'wobble' base-pairing, i.e. permitting non-standard base-pairing at the 3rd anti-codon position. The record is from Rfam by way of RNAcentral. Lineage: Eukaryota; Metazoa; Chordata; Actinopteri; Perciformes; Percidae.
GGCACUGUAGCUUAGUUGGUUAAAGAGCCUGUCUAGUAAACAGGAGAUCCUGGGUUCAAGUCCCAGCAGCGCCU